This is a long non-coding RNA of Dinoponera quadriceps, 971 nucleotides long. RefSeq lists it as uncharacterized. Lineage: Eukaryota; Metazoa; Arthropoda; Insecta; Hymenoptera; Formicidae. The transcript has 4 exons. The record is from RefSeq and is a predicted model, not a curated record.
AACAAUUUAGAAGCGUAAUCGUUGGACCGACGGAAAACGAGAGUCGAUAAGCGCGCAUUGAGGGACAAGAAGCGGGAUUUUUUCAAUCACGGAAACACAGUGUGCGAAGAUGAGAGAGGUUUCCAAGAUGCUGCAACGAGAGACGAAGGUAGAAGCGAAACUGAAGGUCAGGGGGAUCGAAGAGUCAGAUGGACGAACAUAUACUACACACAUGGUGGAAGUAACAAGAUAUGCUCGUGUGCAGGCAUUUUUGCUGGCCGAGAGAGCGUGACUGAACUCAGCCAUCUUGGGCAACUCAAAUGCAUAUAAUAAGAAAAGAUUCAUGCAAAGAAAGUGAAAUAAUAACUACGAUUGAAACUUUUCAUCCAAACAAAACAAGUUAAUCACAAAAACGUCAAGGUGGCAUUAGAAUGAUGCAUUAUAUAUAUAAUCAUCACUUCUCAUAUAUAUUUGGAAAAUUUUCUCCCCGGGAGUGAGUCUUUCCCGUCUGACAUCUCCAAGUUUUCACUCGGUGCUGUAUCGAUCGUGUCAGGAAGUUUUCUCAUCGACCGAUGAGAAACUCGAUGGCUUUCGCCACUGCCGGAGGAGUACACGCAAAUGCAAAAUCGCGGUCUGUUGAGCUUGAAACUUUCGUGAUGAUCAAAAUUGCGCAUGUGUGUGUAUCGUCGUGUUUUAAACUCAACAGCCCGUAUUUCGACGAACACACGUUUAUAACGAUGUCAGCGCGCCACGAGUCGACUUAUUCGGUAAUUCCGAGUAGGAAUUUUGCUCUAAACAUCGAACGAUUAUCAAUUGUCUUGUUUAGUACCGAGCACCGUGUUAUCACCUGUGUUAGAAUGCGACUAGCGAUACUGGAAAUACUGACGUGCUAACACUGUCAUAAACGUAUCGUACGUAACGUACGUUCGGAACACGAGUCAUAAAUGUUUUCCUCCAUUCGAAUAUACGAUGUAAAUACGUUUGAAAAAAAA